Long non-coding RNA from Photinus pyralis (common eastern firefly), 421 nucleotides. RefSeq lists it as uncharacterized. The record is from RefSeq and is a predicted model, not a curated record. Lineage: Eukaryota; Metazoa; Arthropoda; Insecta; Coleoptera; Lampyridae. The transcript has 2 exons.
UACUAAUUGGGAGCUCCUACUUUUAAAGGGCAAGUGAUCUAUUAGAAGUUUGUAUGUAAAUACACGCUAUAAAAGCACCCUCUUCGAUGAUUUUAAACAUAGUCUUGUAGCUUCUGCUGUACAAAGAUGUUCAAAUACUUUGCCUUGUUCGCACUUCUCUUCGUGUUGGCCAUCGCCGCACCAGAACCCGAACCACAGCACCCAUACGGCCAUCAUUAUUACCAACAUGGGGUCCAUCCCUACAGCUAUGGCCAUCAGCAUCACUUUGUCAAUCCCCACCACGCUGGAUAUUAUGGCCACCAUCACGGUCACUUAGGAUACCACUACUAAUUUUGAUGUUUUCAUUUUUUGUACAUAAUUUUUUGGUGUAAAUACUCGUUACCAGGUACCAUAACUCUAAAUAAAAAUUCCUCGCAAACGA